Long non-coding RNA from Oreochromis niloticus (Nile tilapia), 2502 nucleotides. RefSeq lists it as uncharacterized. The record is from RefSeq and is a predicted model, not a curated record. The transcript has 2 exons. Lineage: Eukaryota; Metazoa; Chordata; Actinopteri; Cichliformes; Cichlidae.
AGUUGGGAGGUUGCCUUGUAAUCGGAAGGUUGCCGAUUCGAGCCCCGGCUUGAACAGUCUCGGUCGUUGUGUCCUUGGGCAAAACACUUCACCCGUUGCCUACUGGUGGUGGUCAGAGGGCCCGGUGCCACCAGUGUCGGCAGCCUCGUCUCUGUCAGUGCGCCCCAGGGUGGCUGUGACUACAAUGUAGCUUACCAUCACCAGUGUGUGAGUGUGUGUGAAUGGUUGGAUGACUGGAUGUGUAAAGCGCUAUACAAAUACAGGCCAUUUACCAUCAAAUAAAUAUCCAUGUAGAAUUGUUCAAAGUGACCAUUAUGUUCAUAGAUGUUAAAAAUACCUGAAAAUAAAAUGAGUUCAGUGACAGUUAGUGUUUGUUGUAAUCAAUUUAUUAAUAACAAAACACUUUUAAACUAAUGCAACACAUAUAACAAUGUCACAAAAUAUUCAAAUAAAUACAUUUCUUAAUGCAUAACCAGAUCAAGUGGAGCUGAUUCUUGAACAGCCUCAAGUCAGAGCUGGAUUGACCUUCUGUCACCAGGUACUGAUGAGCCCGCUGUGGAAAAACAUCACUGAUGAUGUUCAUGAAUCCCCAGCUGACUCUGAUGGAGUCAGAAGACAACAGUCACCUGAAGGGGCUGAAAAUUGUAAAGACCCUACAGAACAAUCAGUAAAUGUGAGUAAAUCUGUGAUUCUGCGAGUAACACACUGGGUUCAGUUUGGAGGUUGAACUCUCACUCACCAGGCCGACAGCCGUCUGUGCCACAGUUAAACUCAUGCAGUGCUAAUUUAAAAACUCUCAAAUAUUUUGGACAAUUUAUAUUUUUCUAUCACAAUAAAUACAAGUCUUCAAGUAAACACACAGAGCAGUAGUGGAUCUUUUUUUUUUAAAUAUUAUUUUUCUUUAUUUUGAUUAGAGAAAAUAAACAAUCCAGCUAACAAAUUUUGUGCUCUCUACUACCAGAACCCACCAAAUUGUAUCUCAGCCCAGCCCGAUGGGCCGAUGGGCUGGGCUGAGAUGGAUUUUGGUAGCCCGACUGGAGAAAUCGCUAGCCCCGGGACGUCGGGCUAGCGAUUUUGCGAGCCCUCACUUGAAUUUUUGAAUUUCAGUUUAAGGCAAUUAAAUUCAAUCCAAAAAUUCAACCCCAACAAUCAAGUGAUCCCCUGUGAGCAACAGUGGACAGGAAAAACUCCCUUUUAACAGGAAGAAACCUGUGACAGAACCAGGCUCAGGGAGGGGCAGUCUUCUGUCAUGACUGGUUGGGAGGUGAGGGCAAAAUCAAAUUGAACAUAAAUGAGAGCACAGUAUAUUAUGACAGAUUGGCGGACCGUGGCUGGAAAACAUUAUUACUAUUACUAGAAGAAUUACCGGAAGAAAUUUAGAAAAGGAGCAAUUCUUACAAUAUAUCGGAAGAAACGAGCAAUUCUUCCAAUAUAUCGGAAGAAAUUUAGAAAAGGAGCAAUUCUUCCAAUAUCUUGGAAUAAUUGCUGAAGGAACCGCUUAAUAAUCCAAUCUGGUAUGCCGUAUGAUUUCAAAUAUGUGAAGGCGGCCAGGUAAACUGCACCAAAAAUACCGCCCGUUAUGGCAACACCUAGAACUGCGUUACGUGCGAGGUUGGCAACAGCACUCUGUGGUACUUCCUCUUUGAUUUCACGCCUCAUUUUCGCACGCUCUUCCCUUUCUUCAUUCAUCUCCCUUUCAAGGUUGUCCAUCCGAGUAAUGAGCAUUCUGUUUUGCUCCUGGAGAGCCUCUAAACGCUGAGCUAUGCUCUCCAUUAACACCCUAAUCCUUUGGACCUCCUCCAGAAACUCAUCCAAUCUGGCUUCAAGACGGCCCCAAUCACCAGCCUGAGCCCCGUGAGGAUGCAAUUCCUCUGCAUCAUCUCCGUCAGAAGAUGAAUCACCUGAUGAUUCGUCUGACAUCUUUUUAAAACGUUAAGGGACAGUGUCAAAAGAAAAAAAAUGUUGCCUGAAUUAUUUAAAUGUAAAAGUAUUAGCUUUGUCAAAGAUUCCUGCUUUGCAAAACCAACUCGCUGUUACUGAAGACGCACCAAGGUAAACUGUGUUAAAGCACCGCUAUUUAUGGACUCAUGUGGCAGAGAUGGUGACGUCGACCGUCACGUCACAGUCUCCCCUUUGAGAUAAUCAAAGGACUUUGGAGCGUGAUGUCACGGGGGUGGGCGUGGAAAGGAUUUUGGCCCGAUCCGCCAUUUUGGGGGUCUAAACAAAGCGCAAGGGAAAAAGGAGCGAAGGCACACAACAGCCAUGGUUCAUAUUUGCUGUGUGGUCGGCUGUAAUGUUCGAUCGCACGACCAGCAAGAGAAUAAGCUUGAAAAGGGUUUGUCUUUUCAUUCUUUCCCAACCUGGAAGCAACAUGAGCCAGCUCGUGUAUCGAUGUUACCAAACUAAGGUGUCUAGCCUGGAUAGCAGCUGUGAGACGAGCUGAUAUCCAGUUCUCUUCCAUCUCCAAAUAUCUGUUGGCAUGCUCCAGACAUUUUCAUUCCG